AUUUGUCUGGUUAAUUCCGAUAACGAACGAGACCUUAACCUGCUAACUAGUUUCGAUUACUUUGUAAUUGCUAACUUCUUAGAGGGACUAUGUGAGAUAACUACAUGGAAGUUUGAGGCAAUAACAGGUCUGUGAUGCCCUUAUAUGUCCUGGGCUGCACGCGUGCUACACUGAUGCAUACAACAAGUGCCUAGCCAGUCAUGGUAUGGCAAUCUCGAAUAUGCAUCGUGAUGGGGAUAGAUCUUUGCAAUUAUAGAUCUUGAACGAGGAAUUCCUAGUAAGUGCAAGUCAUCAUCUUGCAUUGAUUAUGUCCCUGCCCUUUGUACACACCGCCCGUCGCUCCUACCGAUACCGGGUGAUCCGGUGAACCUUUUGGACCUUUACAGGAAAGAUAAGUAAACCAUAUCACCUAGAGGAAGGAGAAGUCGUAACAAGGUUUCCGUAGGUGAACCUGCRGAAGGAUCA
RNAcentral lists this ribosomal RNA (465 nucleotides) under uncultured ciliate. RNAcentral describes it as "SSU rRNA". It matches the Rfam family "Eukaryotic small subunit ribosomal RNA". Lineage: Eukaryota; Ciliophora. The record is from RNAcentral.